UAUUCCCCUUUAAGCCUGGCUGAAGAAGCAAAACCAAACGGCGGCUCCAGGGCGAGGCAGGGCGAGGAGAAGGCCAAGCGCAGGCAGGCAUGUCUCUUCUCUCUUCUCUUCGCUCCCUCCCUGCUUUGCGGAAGGCUUCUACUGAGCCGGUGUGGUCCCCGCGGGGGGGGGGGCGGCGUCUCAAUGGCAUUUUUAAAAUGCUAGCAGAUCGAUGGCCAUGCCUCUCCCUCCCUCCCUCUUCCGCUCUGAUUGGCUGAGAGGCAUGCCAACAUGGCUUCUCCUCUCAGAGGGGCUACAGCUACAUCCGAAGACAUCAGAAACAAACGAAAAAAGCCUUGACAGUUCUCUAAUGAUCGGCAACAUUUCCAUCACCCCCAGAAGAUAUGAUUGGCUGAACAUGACAUUGACAGACUUGGGGACUGAAGCCACAAGGAGGAAACUGCAUAAUGACUGAACUCAGAACAUUUAAGGUUAGAAUAUGGCAUUAUUAUUUUUUGCCACCUUUUGCCACUCAUUCCAGAAAUUCAUGGGGAUUUGUGGCUAAUUUGGGGGCAUUUGGAACUAAGUUAUAUUUGAAAAGAAAAGAAAAAUAAAUGUUGACAAAUCAAUGCUGUAAACUAUCUUGUCCUGUUUUUAAAAGAUGUUAGCAUGCAUUCCUUCUUUAAAAUGAAAUGGAGCUUGUAUUUUCAGAACAAGAGGCUGAACACCCUAUCCUGUAUCACUGAGGACCAAGCUGUUUGAAAGGCCAUUGUCUCUCCAGUAAGCCUGUCUGGGCUUUAAGAUCUUUGAGUGAAAUAAACAAACCAAUAAAUAAAUAAUACUUUAUUUGUAUUCUGCUUUAUCUUCCCGAGGGCACUCAGGGUGGAUUCCAGCAAACACAGACACAAGGCAAACAUUCAAUGCCUAGAAACAACAAACACAGAUAAAAGGCAAAAGUUUCAUUUCCCCUUCCAGCUCUGGGGAGUGGUGCUCAUCUUCGGCUCUGGGGGGUGGUGUUCAUCUCAAUUUCUAAGCUGAAGAGCCUGCAUUGUCCAUAGACACCUCCUAGGUCAUGUGGCUGGCAUGACUGCAUGGAGUGCCAUUUACCUUCCAGCUAAGGUGAUACCUAUUGAUCUACUCACAUUUGCAUGUUUUCCAACUGCUAGGUUGGCAGAAGCUGGGGCUAACAGUGGGAGCUCACCCCGUCUUGCAGAUUCAAACCGCCAAAUUUCUGGUCAGCAAGUUCAGCAGCCGAGUGGUUUAACCUGUUGCGCCACCGCGGCCCCUAAGAGAGAUUCAUAAAUUUGGUUAAUAUUGUUUCUCUCUAAAUUCUCCUCUCAAUUCUGCCUCCUUCACAGACAUAUUUGCUAGGACAAUAUCAGAGGGUUUUUGGGAAUCUGUGAAAGUCCCUGUGGUGUACAGUGAGGUGUGAAGCUAAAUGUGGCCCCCUCUCUAUUGUCCUACCAGCACCCAUAUAUAUUUUUCUUCCUAAAACCUAUGGUACUUGAACUGGGUUAUUUCAUUUUCAUUUUAGUUAUGGUAAUAAUAAUAAUGAAUUUAUUUGACCAGUCAUAUGACCAUUUCAAAAUACAACACAAAUAAAAACAAGGCAAAAAGGAGGAGAGGACGGCAGCUGACCUAUUUACAGUUUGGUUAUGAAUUUUAAUUACACUAGGCCAUCAUCUGUUAUGGUGGAAACCAUGAUUUUUUUAAAAAAUACUUUUUUAACCUGAGAAAACACCUUUUAGGAAUCUCCAGGCUCUCCAAUGCAACUUUAUGUCACCUUUUGCUCUGGAGGGCCGAAAGAUUUAUAGAGAGACCCAGGCAUGUAGCUUCAGCCCUCCCCCCUGAAAUUCUCAGGAUGGUCCA
Molecule: long non-coding RNA, 1848 nt
Filed under: Anolis carolinensis (green anole)
Lineage: Eukaryota; Metazoa; Chordata; Lepidosauria; Squamata; Anolidae
Description: lncRNA (ENSACAG00000030213.2)
Source: RNAcentral